CCAACCUUACAUAAAAUCUCAUCUUGCAUAUUAGCCAUUGCAAGCUCAUCAAAGUAUGACGCCCCUAUGGAUUCUCUUCAUACUCUUCCUCCUCUUCAUUAUUCAUCUAAGAAGAAGGAAAAGGACGUUGAAUCCUCGCCGGAGACUUCCUCCGGGCCAACCACCACUCCCCUUCAUCGGAAACCUCCAUGAGCUCCUCGGCGACCUCCCCCACAUCACCCUCCGCAACCUCUCUCAUAAGUACGGCCCGCUCAUCCACCUCAAAUUAGGCCAAAUCCCGACCAUCAUCGCCUCCUCGCCGGAAACCGCCGCAGAUAUCAUCAAAACAUAAGAUUUCGUCUUCUGCAGCCGCCCGUUCUUCGCCACCACCGACCGCUUCUCCUACGGCGGCCUCGACAUCGCUUUCUCUCCUUAUAAUGAUCACUGGCGGCGUAUCAGAAGGUUUGUCAACGCCGAGAUCUUCAGCGCUGCGAGAGUACAGCAAUCGAUGUGUUGCCCUAGCGAGCUCCAUUGCUACUUCCUACGUCAAAGUCAUCGAUGCCUUGUUCUAGACCAAAACGUGCGAAGGUGACAACAAUGACAUGAUCGACGUCAUGAGAACACAUGCGAGAUGAUGAGACAUAAACAAGACGAUGUUUGGGUUUUAUUGAUAUUUAAAACUUUAAGUGUUAUCUGAAUAAAUAAGAAGUUUAUAUGUUAAAUAUAUAAAUUUGAAAAAUUUUGUCUACUAUGUAUAUGAAUUCUCCUAUAAUUUUUUUAUUUUAA
Dendrobium catenatum is the source of this 765-nucleotide long non-coding RNA. RefSeq lists it as uncharacterized. The record is from RefSeq and is a predicted model, not a curated record. The transcript has 3 exons. NCBI's taxonomy places the organism in Eukaryota, Viridiplantae, Streptophyta, Magnoliopsida, Asparagales, Orchidaceae.